Molecule: RNA transcript, 5067 nt
Organism: Serinus canaria (Common canary)
Lineage: Eukaryota; Metazoa; Chordata; Aves; Passeriformes; Fringillidae
Gene: CDC14B
Gene name: cell division cycle 14B
Exons: 15
Source: RefSeq, a predicted model, not a curated record
GGUGCGGCGGGAGGGGGCGGUGUCUGCCGGGACGCGUCAGCCGCCGCCGCCCUCGCCGCCGCGGGGUCCCUCCCCUCCCUCCGGCCGCCGAGUCCCCGCGGGAUGAGGGGAUCGUAGCGUAGCGCCGUGGCCGCCUCCGCCAUGAAGCGGAAGAGCUGGGCCGAGGCGCGGCGCCGCGCAGCACCGCCGCCGCCCGCGCUGAAGAGGACGCGGGGCGCGGCGCAGCGGGCGGCGGGGGGCGAGGCGGAGCGGCGGCGGCAGCCCCCCCCCGCCGGUCUGGAAACCUGCCUGAGGAUCGCGGAUCGCCUUUAUUUUGCAAUUCUCUACCAAAAACCAAAGAGUGGAGCUGCAAAUACCCAUUAUUUCUGUAUAGAUGAUGAACUUGUGUAUGAGAAUUUCUAUGCAGACUUUGGACCACUCAAUCUGGCAAUGAUCUACAGAUACUGCUGCAAGCUAAACAGGAAAUUAAAGUCAUUUUCAUUGAUAAGGAAGAAAAUAGUUCAUUAUACUGGCUUUGAUCAGAAAAAGCAAGCAAACGCUGCAUUCCUCAUAGGCUCCUACGCAAUAAUAUACCUGAAAGAAUCCCCAGAAGAUGUGUACAGGCUUAUAUUGUCAGGAAGUGUUUCAUAUCUUCCUUUCAGGGACGCUUCCUUUGGUACUUGCAGUUUUCAUCUAACGUUACUGGACUGUUUUCAUGCAAUAAACAAGGCUUUGCAGUAUGGUUUCCUGGAUUUUAGUACGUUUGAUGUAGAUGAAUAUGAGCAUUAUGAAAGAGCAGAAAAUGGAGAUUUUAACUGGAUUAUACCAAACAAAUUCAUUGCCUUCAGUGGACCUCAUUCAAGAAGUAAAAUUGAAAAUGGCUAUCCCCACCAUGCUCCAGAGGCUUAUUUCCCAUACUUCAAGCAAAAUAAGGUCACCACUAUAAUACGCCUCAACAAAAAACUGUAUGAUGCCAAACGAUUUACAGAUGCUGGAUUUGAGCAUUUUGAUCUCUUCUUUGCUGAUGGAAGCACACCUAGUGAUACUAUAGUUAAAACAUUUCUAAAUAUUUGUGAAAAUGCUGAAGGUGUAAUAGCCGUUCAUUGCAAAGCUGGUCUUGGACGAACUGGCACACUUAUUGCCUGUUACAUCAUGAAGCAUUAUCGGAUGACAGCUGCUGAAUCUAUUGCCUGGAUCAGAAUAAAUAGACCUGGUUCUGUGAUUGGACCACAACAGCAUUUCCUGAUGGACAAACAGGCAGAACUUUGGACAGAAGGGGAUAUUUUCCGUGCAAAGUUGAAACGAAACCAUAAAAUUGCUGUAACAAGAAUUCUGUCAGGAGUAGAUGAUAUUUCAAUUAAUAACACAAGAAACAGGAGAACCAUCCAAAAGGACAUUGAACUGUACAGUGAUGAUGAUGAAACAAACUGUUUAACACAAGGGGAUAAGCUUCGUGCUCUGAAAAGCAAAAGGCAAGCAAAAACUCCAACUACAUCUCCACUAGCAUGGCUCCUAGCUAUGCUGGUGUCUACACUGUGUAGCAUUGUCAUCUGGUGGAUUGUAUGUGGCUCCCUUCUGCCCAGCCUGCUAUUCUGUCUAGAUGGUUUAAGAACAUAGUAACCAUCAGGACCCCCUGAAAGAGAGCCACUGUAUGGGUUUGCUGGUGUUUCUGGAAGUUGUGUGACAUACUAUUUUAUGUGAACAGCUCCAAAGCAGUAAGCCAAUCCGUCACAAGGACUAGAACAGUAUUGCGUUGAAUUUCGAAUAAGCCACCAGUGUUGAAGAGGAUAUUCAGGAGUGAAGGGGAUAUAGAGGGGACUUGAUGCAAUUCAAGGAAGAUCACUUUGGCUCUAUUUUUCAGUAAAAAAUGAAAUAGAACAAUCUCUUUUUUACUUGUAGAAUAAAAUGAACCGUCGACAUGUUUGGUAGACUUUUUUCUACCAUGCUAAUACUUUCUCAAAACAAACAUAAUCUACGUAUGUUCAGACUCAGGUGUAAAUAUUUAAGCUCUCUAUUAUAAAGAGGGCUUACUAGUAUGUAUGAUGCAUGUGUACGAAUUGUGAUGGCAAUCACUUAGCUGCUGAUCACCAGAUGGUGGGAGGUUUUAAGUAUAUAAAUCUGUGUUGUGCAUUCAGACUGGGCUGAAGUUGUCACUUGAGUCUGAGAAUCAACCACAAAAGCUUUUAUUUCUAAUAAUAUUGGUACUCUCCUAUGUUGAUUGGCAGUUAUUUCUUACUUUGUAUGAAGUUUUUUUAUGAAGCUGCAGUAUGGAGUACACAAUGUAACUAUUGUCCACCAAAGAGUGCUUUAUUGUCAAAGGUUGUGUGGUUUAUUUAGGAAAAACUAAUUGUAAGUGAUUAACUUGUUUUUAGUAGUGACAGCUUUUCAGUUGUUCACAACCAACUGCUCUUUGAACUAGUUAUAACUGCUUUACAUCUGGUAUGAUUUUAAAGGGGAGGAAAACCACAAGCAUUUAAAGCAGUGAUGUCAUGUUGAAAUGUCAUUAGUUUCACCACUGAAACAUUACUGUUUUUCCUAUCACAUGCUUUACAUGAAACUUUAUAUUACCAUAUAUAAAGGUAAGAAUCCCCCCUCAGAAUUCAUUGGUAUGUUUGAUAACAUGUGGACAGUGCUUUGGGACACUUAAUGAGUGCAGCACACAAAAAAAAUGGGAAUAUAAAGGUGCCAUACGACUGAGAUAGUGGAAUUCAGGGGCAAGUAAAAAUUUUGACACCUAACACUUUAAGAACUACAAUUUACCUCUAGUAAAAAGCAGCAUAAUUUUUAGAGGAAACUGCUUGAGACUGAAAUUUACAACCCCUACAGGACUAGUGUUUUUUUUCCUACUACUUUUCACAUUAUGACAUUUGAAAACUGAUGUACUCUUGUUCACCAGCUAGCUGAUGGUUAUAGCUGCAUAUCCCUCAGAUGAGGGCUGUUACCACAUAGCCUUAAAUAUGAAUCAGUUAUCUGUUGAUUUAAUUAACAGUUAUCUGUUGAUUUAAUGACUCUUGCCAUACAAAGUGGAGGAAAUUGAGAAAUCUGCAAUGUUAGUAAUGGAAUAACUGAUGUUUUUAAAGACACAGAUUACCUCUGUGAGAGGGGGAAAUUUCCAUGAAUGUAAAUGUUCAAUGACUAGUUUCAACCUACAACUUUUUGAAUGGAAACUAAGCCUUCUGUUAGGCUGGUGAUUUUUGAAUGCCAGUAUGAAUAUCACACAGUGGUUUGAAAACAUUUUCUAGCAAAAGAAUCAUGAAUUGGAGAGGAAACAGGAUGUAAAGUGUAAGUAAGCUUACAGCUAACAUCCAUGUGCUUAGAUAAUCAAAAUUUGCAAACAUGAAUAUAAGUUAAAAGGGCAGGUUUAAUGCAAAUAAAGGACCACUGAAGGCUCAGACUGAAAAAAUUUUGUUUUCUUCUAAAUAAAAAGCAUCUGCAAGAGAGGGACUGAUCUCAUUUCAAUAAGGCAAUUAAAAUUUCUUGGGCUUUGAAUGGGGUUGCUUUGUUUGUUUUGGCAGAGGUUAUUUGGUUCUUCUGGGGUUGUUGCAGUCUAGGGGGUUUUGGGUUUGGUUUGGUUUGUUUGGUUAGGAUUUUUUAGUGGAGGUUGUGUGGUUUGGGUUUUUUUUGGUUGGGUGGAUUUUUUAAUGAGCCAUUUUGUGCAAAAGCUUACAUACACAGGUAACCACGAUAGUAGGUCUGUUGUGCAAAUAUGAGCCUAUGCUUCUUUUUGAACAAAAUUCUCAUCUUGGAAGGCAAAAGGGAUGCAAAUAGUGAAAUGAGAACCAGAUAAAGAUUUAGUAAUAUUUACUGUGUUUGGCCAUGCCCUUCUCUCAGCUGACCUCCUUUUUUUGGCAUUUUUUUUAACCUGAAAAUAAUUGGUCUCUUUCCCACCCCUUCCAAAUUGCAAAUCAGAAUUUGUCUCAUUUAAAGUAACCAGCAGAGUAGUUAGCACUUCUAGGUUCAUUAGAAGUAAAUUUGCAUAAUGCAAGUGCACAAACAAUAGCAACUCUAGCUAAACCAAAAUUGCACGUUUUGCUUCAAUGUGUGUCAGGAUACCCCACCCACCACCCACUCUCAGUGAAAAACACAUAAAUGUCAAAGGGAUUUUACAUCUGAACUUUCCAAACAGCCUUAUAUGGAAAAUUAACUCAUUACCUCAUUCUGCCACAUCUAAUUGUACUGCUUAGUUUGUUAUAAAUUUUUAUUAGUUUUCUAACAUUUUUAAUACACCACACCAAAGGUGUCUUAGGUACAAGAAUGAAGAGUGGGCAUGUGUGAGGAAGGUCUUGGUUUCUAAUUUUUUUCUGAAUUGUGAAGUAUUAUGUGCCAAAAUGGAAUAUGUUAUAGCAGCUGCCUCACCUUUGAAUAUCUUUGUAUAAUAGAGCAGCUCAAUGAAGUUACUUCUGCUGUCAUCAGUUAGGAAAUUCCUCUUAGAAAUUCCUUCCUCUUUCAAAUAUGUGACAGAUGGAUUCUUCCUCAAUUUCUUAGCUCAAAAGAUACUACAUGCUCAACAGUUGUAAUAUAUCUCGGGUAAAAUUGCUGCUUUCCAUUACAGCAUCAAAAAAACUCAAGACACUUGCCUAGACUUUGUCUUUUUGCCCCAGUAUGAUAGUAGAGGAAGCACUGCUGAUUUGAAACAGUAAGAGAUUGUAGGAAAAAAACAAAACAAAACAUAAAUGUGAUGUUCACCAGUUUGUUGCACUGCAUUUUUUAUAUUAAUCAUUUGCAGACUGUCAUAUGUAAACUCAUAUAGAGGCUACCAAGGUCUAAAAUUUCUUGACUAAUCAGUACUGUUCAUCCUGAUUAUUUUUAAACUGUAUAUUUCUAAUCAUAUUUUUUUAACUUGGAUUGACAGAAUGAAAGCUUAUUUUGCUGACAGUAUUUUUAAGAUAAAGCUUCAUAUUAUCUUGUAAUAUUAAUUAGUUCAAUAUGCAUUUGUGUGUCAUUUGAAAAUACUGCAAAUUGCAUUUGAUUUUAUACAGAAUACUCAAUAGUGGGAAGUGUAAACAUGAACUGUGUAAAAUUAAAAAUAAUCAGAAGGCUUUUUUUCUGUUUUAUUUCCAGUAUGAUAACAAAGCCAUCAUUUCUCUA